This 497-nucleotide ribosomal RNA is filed under the name uncultured bacterium. Its description in RNAcentral is "partial 16S ribosomal RNA". It matches the Rfam family "Bacterial small subunit ribosomal RNA", at positions 28 to 507 of the family's 1533-position model. The record is from RNAcentral.
GACGAACGCUGGCGGCGUGCCUAAUACAUGCAAGUUGAGCGAUGAAGCUUGGUGCUUGCACCAAUUUGAAGAGCAGCGAACGGGUGAGUAACGCGUGGGGAAUCUGCCUUUGAGCGGGGGACAACAUUUGGAAACGAAUGCUAAUACCGCAUAACAACUUUAAACAUAAGUUUUAAGUUUGAAAGAUGCAAUUGCAUCACUCAAAGAUGAUCCCGCGUUGUAUUAGCUAGUUGGUGAGGUAAAGGCUCACCAAGGCGAUGAUACAUAGCCGACCUGAGAGGGUGAUCGGCCACAUUGGGACUGAGACACGGCCCAAACUCCUUCGGGAGGCAGCAGUAGGGAAUCUUCGGCAAUGGACGAAAGUCUGACCGAGCAACGCCGCGUGAGUGAAGAAGGUUUUCGGAUCGUAAAACUCUGUUGGUAGAGAAGAACGUUGGUGAGAGUGGAAAGCUCAUCAAGUGACGGUAACUACCCAGAAAGGGACGGCUAACUACGUG